This 986-nucleotide ribosomal RNA is filed under the name Albatrellus alpinus. RNAcentral describes it as "partial large subunit ribosomal RNA". It matches the Rfam family "Eukaryotic large subunit ribosomal RNA", at positions 49 to 1032 of the family's 3401-position model. The record is from RNAcentral. Lineage: Eukaryota; Fungi; Basidiomycota; Agaricomycetes; Russulales; Albatrellaceae.
AACGGAGUAGACUAACAGGAUUCCCCUAGUAACUGCGAGUGAAGCGGGAAAAGCUCAAAUUUGAAAUCUGGCGGUCUUUGGCCGUCCGAGUUGUAGUCUGGAGAAGCGUUUUCCGUGCCGGACCGUGUACAAGUCCUCUGGAACGGGGCGUCGUAGAGGGUGAGAAUCCCGUCUUUGACAUGGACUACCGGUGCUUUGCGAUGCGCUCUCGAAGAGUCGAGUUGUUUGGGAAUGCAGCUCAAAAUGGGUGGUGAAUUCCAUCUAAAGCUAAAUAUUGGCGAGAGACCGAUAGCGAACAAGUACCGUGAGGGAAAGAUGAAAAGCACUUUGGAAAGAGAGUUAAACAGUACGUGAAAUUGUUGAAAGGGAAACGCUUGAAGUCAGUCGCGUCGUCCAGGAUUCAGCCUUGAGGGCUUCUCUCGGUGUACUUUCUGGUUCGACGGGCCAGCAUCGAUUUUGACCGUCGGACAAAGGCUGGGGAAAUGUGGCACCUUUCGGGGUGUGUUAUAGUCCCUCGUCGGUAUAUGACGGUCGGGAUCGAGGAACUCGGCACGCCUUUCAUGGUCGGGGCUCUCGGGCCCACGCCUCGUGCUUAGGAUGCUGGCGUAAUGGCUUUAAACGACCCGUCUUGAAACACGGACCAAGGAGUCUAACAUGCCCGCGAGUGUUAGGGUGGAAAACCCUUGCGCGUAACGAAAGUGAAAGUCGGGACCUUCGAGAGGAGGGCACCGAUGCCCGGACCAGACCUUUCUGGUGACGAUCCCCGGUUGGAGCGUGCAUGGUGGGGACCGAAAGAUGGUGAACUAUUGCCUGAAUAGGGUGAAGCCAGAGAAACUCUGGUGGAGCUCGUAGCGAUCUGACGUGCAAAUCGAUCGUCGAUUUGGGUAUAGGGCGAAGACUAUCGACAUCUAGUAGCUGUUCUGCGAGUCCUCAAGAUAGCGAGCUCGUAGAUCGAUUAUGUGUUAAGCGAAUGAUAGAGCUGGUCA